GGAUGUGAGGGUCAUCUGUCUGUGACAUCUGUCACCCCAUUGAUCACCAGGGUUGAUUCAGCUGAUCUGGCUGGCUAGGCGAAUGUCCCCUUCCUCCCUCACCGCUCCAUGUGCAUCCCUCUAGGAGCUGCAUGCUCAAAGAGAACAACCACCCCCAUAGAGGAGGACCGUUUUCUCCAUCAGAGGUGUAAGAGUAGCUGCACUCCCCGGCUAGAACCUCCAAACAAGCUCUCAAAUAACCUCUCAUUUCAUUUGUGGUUUCUUUUUUCACAUAUGUCAAUUUAGAAAUGUAUGCUAUCUCAACCUGAUAAAAGCCAUCUGUGAAAAACCGACAGGCAACAUCA
Molecule: unclassified non-coding RNA, 344 nt
Organism: Fukomys damarensis (Damara mole-rat)
Lineage: Eukaryota; Metazoa; Chordata; Mammalia; Rodentia; Bathyergidae
Gene: 7SK
Rfam family: 7SK RNA
About the family: 7SK was discovered as an abundant small nuclear RNA in the mid-70s but a possible function has only recently been suggested. Two independent studies have found that 7SK RNA binds the CDK9/cyclin T complex (known as elongation factor P-TEFb).
Source: Ensembl